RNAcentral lists this ribosomal RNA (253 nucleotides) under uncultured bacterium. Its description in RNAcentral is "partial 16S ribosomal RNA". It matches the Rfam family "Bacterial small subunit ribosomal RNA", at positions 524 to 776 of the family's 1533-position model. The record is from RNAcentral.
UACAGAGGGGGCAAGCGUUAUUCGGAAUUAUUGGGCGUAAAGGGCGCGUAGGCGGCUUUUCAAGUGGCGGGGGAAGUCCCUCGGCUUAACCGAGGAACUGCCUGCCAGACUGGAUGGCUUGAGACCGGGAGAGGUGAGUGGAAUUCCCAGUGUAGCGGUGAAAUGCGUAGAUAUUGGGAGGAACACCAGUGGCGAAGGCGGCUCACUGGACCGGUACUGACGCUGAGGCGCGAAAGCGUGGGGAGCAAACAGG